UACGGAGGAUCCGAGCGUUAUCCGGAUUUAUUGGGUUUAAAGGGUGCGCAGGCGGGAGAUUAAGUCGGCGGUGAAAUUUUGCAGCUCAACUGGAAAAGGGCCUUCGAUACUGGUUUCCUUGAGUGUGGAUGAAGUAGGCGGAAUUUGUGGUGUAGCGGUGAAAUGCUUAGAUAUCACGAGGAACUCCGAUUGCGCAGGCAGCUAACUAAACCACUACUGACGCUCAGGCACGAAGGCGUGGGGAUCAAACAGG
Molecule: ribosomal RNA, 253 nt
Filed under: uncultured Petrimonas sp.
Lineage: Bacteria; Pseudomonadati; Bacteroidota; Bacteroidia; Bacteroidales; Dysgonomonadaceae
Description: partial 16S ribosomal RNA
Rfam family: Bacterial small subunit ribosomal RNA
Source: RNAcentral